CUACAUAUAAGUUUUGCAUAAUUCUUAUAUAAAAGGAGCGUUUGUUUCGCUAGGGGAUGAGAGUGCGCUACAUUAGUUAGUUGGUAGGGUAAGAGCCUACCAAGACUAUGAUGUAUAGCGGGGCUGAGAAGCUGAACCGCCACACUGGGACAGAGAUACGGCCCAGACUCCUACGGGAGGCAGCAGUAGGGAAUAUUCCACAAUGAGCGAAAGCUUGAUGGAGCAACACAGCGUGCAGGAAGACGACCUUAGGGUUGUAAACUGCUGUUAUGAGGGAAGAAAAAUAAAAUUAGGAAAUGAAUUUUACAUGACGGUACCUCAUCAGAAAGCACCGGCAAACUAUGUGCCAGCAGCCGCGGUAAUACAUAGGGUGCAAGCGUUAUCCGGAAUUAUUGGGCGUAAAGUGUCUGUAGGUGGUAUGUUAAGUCUAGUGUUAAAGACUAGGGCCCAACCCUAGCACGCUCUAGAUACUGACAUGCUAGAGUCAUAGAGAGGUUAGCGGAACUCCUAGUGAAGCGGUGAA
RNAcentral lists this ribosomal RNA (523 nucleotides) under uncultured bacterium. RNAcentral describes it as "bacterial SSU rRNA". It matches the Rfam family "Bacterial small subunit ribosomal RNA", at positions 173 to 685 of the family's 1533-position model. The record is from RNAcentral.